RNAcentral lists this ribosomal RNA (301 nucleotides) under uncultured bacterium. RNAcentral's name for it is "partial 16S ribosomal RNA". It matches the Rfam family "Bacterial small subunit ribosomal RNA", at positions 509 to 807 of the family's 1533-position model. The record is from RNAcentral.
CAGUAGCCGCGGUAACACGUAGGUGGCGAGCGUUGUCCGGAUUUAUUGGGCGUAAAGGGAGUGUAGGCGGUCUUUUAAGUCUGAUGUGAAAGCCCACGGCUCAACCGUGGAGGGUCAUUGGAAACUGGGAGACUUGAGUGCAGAAGAGGAGAGCGGAAUUCCAUGUGUAGCGGUGAAAUGCGUAGAUAUAUGGAGGAACACCAGUGGCGAAGGCGGCUCUCUGGUCUGUAACUGACGCUGAGGCUCGAAAGCGUGGGGAGCAAACAGGAUUAGAUACCCCUGUAGUCCCUGUCUCUUAUAC